Molecule: ribosomal RNA, 376 nt
Filed under: uncultured organism
Description: partial 16S ribosomal RNA
Rfam family: Bacterial small subunit ribosomal RNA
Source: RNAcentral
AGAGGGUGCGAACGUUGCUCGGGAUUUACUGGGGCGUAAAGCGCGUGUAGGCGGACUCGCAAGUCGGGUUGUGAAAUCCCUGGGGCUCAACCUAGGGAACUGCAUCCGAAACUGCUUGUCUUGAGUAAUGGAGAGGGUGGCGGAAUUCCCGGUGUAGAGGUGAAAUUCGUAGAUAUCGGGAGGAACAUCAGUGGCGAAGGCGGCCACCUGGACAUUUACUGACGCUGAGACGCGAAAGCGUGGGGAGCAAACAGGAUUAGAUACCCUGGUAGUCCACGCCGUAAACGAUGAGCAUUAGGUGCAGCGGAUAUUGACCUCUGCUGUGCCGUAGCUAACGCGUUAAAUGCUCCGCCUGGGGAGUACGGCCGCAAGGCUA